This 213-nucleotide long non-coding RNA is filed under the name Lathyrus oleraceus (garden pea). Its description in RNAcentral is "Pisum sativum (pea) long non-coding RNA (PSAT_LNC014598)". Lineage: Eukaryota; Viridiplantae; Streptophyta; Magnoliopsida; Fabales; Fabaceae. The record is from RNAcentral.
GAGAAGUGACGAGUGGAAGAAGUGAGGAGGUUGCAGUAGAGGAUUAUAUGAAUGUCGUAACUGAAAAUGAAGAGAAUGAAGUGGUGGUGGAAUAUGAAAAGAAAAAAGAGGAAAAAACUUCUCAGGUCGCGCCGCGACCCCCUUUGGCGCCGCGAAAUGAACAGGUUCAGAAUGGUUCAUCUGAACAGGAGGUUGAAGUAGGUGAGAAGGAAG